UGAGGAAUAUUGCACAAUGGGGGAAACCCUGAUGCAGCGACGCCGCGUGGGUGAUGAAGGUUUUCGGAUCGUAAAGCCCUUUUCUGCAUGACGAGCAAAGGACGGUAGUGCAGGAAUAAGUGUCGGCUAACUACGUGCCAGCAGCCGCGGUAAAACGUAGGACACAAGCGUUAUCCGGAAUUACUGGGCGUAAAGGGAGUGCAGGCGGUUGAAUAAGUUAGGCGUGAAAGACUUCGGCUAAACCGGGGGAGGUCGUCUGAUACUGUUCAACUAGAGUAUGGUAGAGGCGUGUAGAAUUCCGGGUGUAGUGGUGAAAUGCGUAGAGAUCCGGAGGAAUACCAGUGGCGAAGGCGGCACGCUGGGCCAUAACUGACGCUAAGACUCGAAAGCAUGGGUAGCGAACGGGAUUAGAUACCCCCGUAGUCCCUGAGCGGGCUGGCAAGGCGCAU
Molecule: ribosomal RNA, 449 nt
Filed under: uncultured bacterium
Lineage: Bacteria
Description: bacterial SSU rRNA
Rfam family: Bacterial small subunit ribosomal RNA
Source: RNAcentral